AGGCAACGUCGUAUUGGAAUCCUCGAGUAAAAAAGGGAAGGAUAAAAUCGACGUCGAAUAGCUCAAAAAUCACGGCUAGGUACUGUUCGAAUUAUUAUCGACUCAACAUCAAAUCACAAAUCCCGAGCUCAAGUGUGGUGAUAUUUCAUUUUUUAAUGGCAUGUACCUAGGGAGUGUUUUGUUGAUAUCGUUUAUAAGAUGUGGUUAACUUAGUUGCUAGUGAAAUGAUGGUUAAAGGUGUAUUUGGUUGUGGUUGAGGCUAUGUUGGUAUGCUAGCCUAGUUUAUAUUUUGGUAUGUGCUUAGUUUCAUAUUUGGUAACUUUAGAAGUUUGAAAGUUUGUUCAAAUAUGGUAAGUGUGAUAUGAAUGAAAGUCUUGAAUGUUU
Long non-coding RNA from Gossypium raimondii (Peruvian cotton), 384 nucleotides. RefSeq lists it as uncharacterized. The record is from RefSeq and is a predicted model, not a curated record. Lineage: Eukaryota; Viridiplantae; Streptophyta; Magnoliopsida; Malvales; Malvaceae. The transcript has 2 exons.